Molecule: long non-coding RNA, 741 nt
Organism: Cyprinus carpio carpio
Lineage: Eukaryota; Metazoa; Chordata; Actinopteri; Cypriniformes; Cyprinidae
Source: Ensembl
GCCGGAGCAGGGGAGGUUGGCUGCUUCUUAAGCCAGUUAUCUCAGCGCUCCACGCUGCUGGUGCUCUGCCAGCGCUCACAGCCCUGACGACAUUAAUGAGUCCAGCUCUCUUCUGCAGGCGAAUGAUGGACGUAUGCAUGAGAUUCCCUGAUACUAGCCCAAAUAAAGCACACACACUCAGAACGCAAGGCCUAUGGGAAGCAUUGAUGCUGCAAACACGCCACGCACAGAGCAAGGAAGGGAGCAAAUUCAGUCCCUGAUACAGAGAAGGCAAACGCAUCCUAAUCAUUCGCGCCUGCGGCACCGGGAUGGGUGGAGGUCUGGGGGCUGAGCUGAGGAUGCAGGCAUCACGCUGAUGAAAAUGAAAUUGGAGGAGGUGUAGUGACCUCUUAUCAGUCGUCUAACAUAGAGGGCCGUGGGGCAAACAGAGGUCUGAACCAAAGAGUGAUUACACCGGCAAUUACAUCAGAUGGAGGUGGAUGUAGCAGAGGAGAAGCGCCAUUGCACACGCUCAAAAGUUCCCCUGGAACCAGCCAUACAAGAGUUGUUCAGUGUGUAUGGCUGUCCUGUCGCCAAGAAGAGAAAACCCCUGGACACUCAUGCCCUGGAGCCCUCGCCCAAGAGGAAGGUCUUUCUUACAGUCGUAGAGCAGCCGUCAAUGGAGAAAUGCUACAAAACGCACAAAAUGGAGGAGAUGGAUGAAAAAGAGGAGGAAGAGGAGGAGGAGCAGGAGGAGGAGGA